Molecule: long non-coding RNA, 1544 nt
Organism: Pongo pygmaeus (Bornean orangutan)
Lineage: Eukaryota; Metazoa; Chordata; Mammalia; Primates; Hominidae
Exons: 2
Source: RefSeq, a predicted model, not a curated record
GGCCUGUGGCGUGGGGUGGGCCUGCGGCGUGGGGUGGGCCUGCUGUCCACAGCCAGAAAAACUAACUUAGUGGACACACAGUGAAAUUUUGAAACAGGAAGUUUUAGAGCUAGUUUCUAUCAUAGAGUUUAGCAAAUGCUAUUUUGCAAAAUAUUUUUCCAAUGUUUGUUUUGUUUUUCUAAUCUGAUAAUGCAUAUUUCACACAUUCUGGCCUUUAAGCAAUGGAAAUUAGAGAACUAAACUUAAUAUAGUUUGUGUUAAUGGAAAGAGCUUGAGAUUUGUUCUCAGAAAAUUUCAGUUGCAACUGCUUGUUCAGAUAGGUGAACUUCCAACGCAGUAACUAUAGGAAUAAGAAAAAAAGCUGUGUUUACUUUCACAGAGUUAAGAAGACAUGAGAAAAUGGAUGUUAAAAACCUUGUAAUUAAAAUGUAAAGUUACAUGCAAAGUUAAGCAUUUUCCAGGAAGAGGUGAUUUUCUAAGUUCUUGAAUGCCUCUCCCUUUUGUGAGGAGGCUGCGUCGUGGGCUGUUGGUGUCUUCGGCAGGCGAGACUCACUCUGUUGCCUGGACUGGAGUGCAGGGGCACAAUCUCAGCUCACUGCAGCCUCUGCCUCCUGGGUUCAAAUGAUUCUUCUGCCUCAUCUUCCUGAGUGGCUGGGACUACAGAUGCAUGCCACCAUACCUGGCUAAUUUGUGUAUUUUUAGUAGAGAUGGGGUUUCACGAUGUUGGCCGGGAUGGUCUUGAACUCCCAACCUCAGGUAAUCUGCCCGCCGCAGCCUCCCAAAGUGUUGGGAUUACAGGCAUGAGCCACCGCACCUGGCCAUGUUUAUGAAUACGACUAAGAACAUUUUGAAUUGCACCUGUGGCUCCACUGGUGUCCUGGGCAGGUGGCUCUGUGGUGUCCACACAGGUUGUCUGCUGUGUCUUCAUCUUCGCUGCAUGUGACUUUUUGGUUCCUGUGGCACGUGGAGUCCUGUAUGGGACAUUGGUUCUACAGUAGAUUUAUAAUAAGGAUGUACCUACUAAAAAAUACAAAAUAAAAAGAAUAGAAACAAACAUAGAAAUAAGUAUCACCUCACAAAAAUUUUGGAAAGUAGAAAAAGGAAGAUACAUUCACAGCUUUUCAGUAGCCGAUAUCCAGGCUGUCUUCAUAAGCAUGGAUAACGUGUCCCUCUCCUGCAUGGAUAGACACCGUUUUCUCACCUUAAGUGUUAGUGAUUGAAGGAUUCUUGAUGUGUUGACUUGGAGGAUGCAGUUGUUGAGCAGUAGUUUAUCUAAAGAUUGUAAGAAACUUUUGGAAACAUUUCAUGUCCUUGUUUCCCUUGGAAAACGUGGGUUGAAGAAAUCGCCGCUUGCCAAAAAUAAGCCGUGAAACGGAUUUCAGAGCAACUCUAGUUACAUGCUGGCGAGGAGCCACGGAAUACCAUUUACAUUUGAAAAUAGAGGGCUGUGAAGUUUUUAUAAGUAGUGAACCCCGUCAGAAUUGCACAUUUUGAUUAUGGCUCUAAAUUUUAUAUUAAAGAAAUAAAAAUUUUAUCGUAUUUUA